AGAUGAUAUAAAGUAGAUUGGAGGGA
RNAcentral lists this small RNA (26 nucleotides) under Bombyx mori (domestic silkworm). Its description in RNAcentral is "ovarian small RNA-11968". The record is from RNAcentral. Lineage: Eukaryota; Metazoa; Arthropoda; Insecta; Lepidoptera; Bombycidae.